Molecule: ribosomal RNA, 536 nt
Filed under: Cyrtocarenum cunicularium
Lineage: Eukaryota; Metazoa; Arthropoda; Arachnida; Araneae; Ctenizidae
Description: partial 16S ribosomal RNA
Rfam family: Bacterial large subunit ribosomal RNA
Source: RNAcentral
GUAUGCUUAUAAUACGUAAAACCUGCUCAAUGAUAUUUUAAAUAGCCGCAGUACAAUGUGCUAAGGUAGCAUAAUAAUUUGCCUUAUAAUUAAAGGCUAGAAUGAACGGUUAAACAUAUGGAUUUCUUUAUUAAUAUGGAUUCUUUAACUUAACAUAUAAGUAAAAAGGCUUAUAUAAUCAGAGGGACGACAAGACCCUGUCGAGCUUUACUUUAGUUUAACUGGGGCGGUUAAAAACAAAUUCUUUACUUAAUUUUUCAUAACAUCCCUUCAAAAAGGAAUAAAACAAGUUACCGCAGGGAUAACAGCAUAAUUCUUUUUAUAAGAUCAUAUUUUUAAAAGAGAUUGUGACCUCGAUGUUGAAUUAUUUUAUCUUUUAGGAGCAGAAUCUUAAAAAGAAAGUCUGUUCGACUUUUAAAAAUUUACAUGAUUUGAGUUCAGACCGGCGUAAGCCAGGUCGGUUUCUAUCUUCUUAUUUUUACCUUCAGUACGAAAGGACAAAAGUAAAAGCCUAAGGCUUUUACUUUUAGCAAAAA